CAAUGGCGCCGCUGCCCGGGCGGGUCACGGGCCCGGCGGAGCAGUAAAUAACCCGCCAUCCCUGCGGCUAGACAGCGCACCCGACUCGAGAAGCGCGGACUGGGAAGACGAGACCGCAGGGCGAGCUGGAAAUAAAGUUUCCCAGAUGGCUCUAGGCUGAAUCUUGAACGUUGUGAUAGAGCUUGCCAGGCCUACUGGGAGCCCACACGCUGAAUGAAUAGUAUCCUUUUCACAAUUGUAUCCUUACUGCCUAAGCCAGGACUCUGCACACAAUUAUCUCCAAUAUUCCAGGGCCUUCUUUCUCAUCUCUAUCUUCACCAUACUCAUUGGCCUUGGCUGGCUCUUCAGCUCUUGCCUCCCUAGUAGAGGAAGCAUGACCACCAACUUGGAUUUGAAGGUAUCCAUGCUCAGCUUCAUCUCAGGUACAGACCAAGACUGGCAGGGAAUACCAUGGUAAAAUAGUCAAGGUAACAAAGUUUCUCCAUGGAACUCUCAUACUCUUUUUCUUAUCUCUUUGCUCUUCUUCAGUAUCAUGUCAACUUGCCAGCUACCUGCCUUAUCUAAUUAUAUAGAACACAUCUUAGCUGACUUUACCAGGGUAUAAAUCCCAUUCUCUCAUCUUGGUCAAUCCCCAAGUUUUUAUCUUUUUGAUCCUUGCCAUACUUAUGGCCUCCAGAGGCCAAAGAGCUGGGUGGUGGCAGGGAAAGCAGACUGAAGAUGCUGAUGGAUUAUGACAUCUUUCCUUCUGGUCCUAGCUACCUGCUUGCUCCUCUGUCUCAACCUGUUUGUGGCACAGGUUCACUGGCAUACUAGGGAUGCCAUGGAGUCAGAUCUCCUAUGGACCUAUUAUCUUAACUGGUGCAGUGACUUCUGUUACACGUUUGCUGGUGAGUCACUCCCCUGCUCUAUGCUAGAAGGAUGGAUAGGGAAAUCACUUCUGGAAAGGGAGGCAUAAUCUAGGAGAAAUAGAAACACUGACUAUUCCUUUUCAGAACACUGAUACUUGGAGGGUCAGUAUGGUGUAACGAAGGAAGGGUGAAUUUUGGAGUGUGAAAAGCUAGCAUUAGCAACUUGUUAUAUCACAAAGUGAGGCAUGGACAAGUUGAGAAACUUGGCCAAGACCACACAGAAAAUAGUGGAACAGAAAUCAGAAUCUAGGAGGUUCAAGCUUUGUCCUAACCAGUCUGAGAAAUACUAUAAUGCAAUUGGAGCCCAGGAGGGUAAAGUAACUGUGCUGAGGGAGAGAAGGGUUCACUGAAAAGAUGCCUCUUAAACUGGUUAUUAAAGGAUGGGUAAGAAUUUUAAAAGCCAAAAGACCAUUGCCUACUGAACCUCACCUCAAAUUAUUCUCUUCCCCUAGGGAUUGUCUUUCUUCUCAACUACUUUACUUCCAGAUCUCCUACCCGUGAUCAAAGCAUCACUGUGAUUCCAACAGAGAUAUCAAGGCUGGGGUUUGGUCCAGUGACUACAGUAUCACCUGCUAAAAAUGAAGGGCCAAGGUCUAAGAUGAAAUCUCUAAAUGUGAAACAGAAAAAUUUACCAAAGGCAGGACUGUGAUGGUGAUAGGAAAACCUAACUAUUGCUUGUCUUAAAAGCAGGGGAGAAGCUGAGUUGGGAAUGAUUGCAUAAAUUCUUGGAAACCCUCUUAAUAUCAUGUCCAUAUUUCUGGAGAAGACAGCAUUAAAGCUAAUGAAAUGUC
RNA transcript from Sapajus apella (tufted capuchin), 1699 nucleotides. It is a transcript of the gene named transmembrane protein 202, with no coding region annotated. Lineage: Eukaryota; Metazoa; Chordata; Mammalia; Primates; Cebidae. The record is from RefSeq and is a predicted model, not a curated record. The transcript is spliced from 3 exons.